RNAcentral lists this ribosomal RNA (415 nucleotides) under uncultured bacterium. Its description in RNAcentral is "bacterial SSU rRNA". It matches the Rfam family "Bacterial small subunit ribosomal RNA", at positions 402 to 809 of the family's 1533-position model. The record is from RNAcentral.
UGCGGGAAGAAGGCCUUCGGGUUGUAAACCGCUUUUGUCAGGGAAGAAAAGGUUCUGGCUAAUACCUGGGACUCAUGACGGUACCUGAAGAAUAAGCACCGGCUAACUACGUGCCAGCAGCCGCGGUAAUACGUAGGGUGCAAGCGUUAAUCGGAAUUACUGGGCGUAAAGCGUGCGCAGGCGGUUAUGCAAGACAGAGGUGAAAUCCCCGGGCUCAACCUGGGAACUGCCUUUGUGACUGCAUAGCUAGAGUGCGGCAGAGGGGGAUGGAAUUCCGCGUGUAGCAGUGAAAUGCGUAGAUAUGCGGAGGAACACCGAUGGCGAAGGCAAUCCCCUGGGCCUGCACCGACGCUCAUGCACGAAAGCGUGGGGAGCAAACAGGAUUAGAUACCCUGGUAGUCCACGCCCUAAACGA